Molecule: ribosomal RNA, 301 nt
Filed under: uncultured bacterium
Lineage: Bacteria
Description: partial 16S ribosomal RNA
Rfam family: Bacterial small subunit ribosomal RNA
Source: RNAcentral
CAGUAGCCGCGGUAAUACAGAGGGUGCGAGCGUUAAUCGGAUUUACUGGGCGUAAAGCGUGCGUAGGCGGCUUUUUAAGUCGGAUGUGAAAUCCCUGAGCUUAACUUAGGAAUUGCAUUCGAUACUGGGAAGCUAGAGUAUGGGAGAGGAUGGUAGAAUUCCAGGUGUAGCGGUGAAAUGCGUAGAGAUCUGGAGGAAUACCGAUGGCGAAGGCAGCCAUCUGGCCUAAUACUGACGCUGAGGUACGAAAGCAUGGGGAGCAUACAGGAUUAGAUACCCCCGUAGUCCCUGUCUCUUAUAC